UACAAUACAGUUCAUCCAAGUGUCCAAAUGGAUCAUUUCGGUUAUUUACCUAAUGAGUCUAGCAUUUCAUCAGAAAUGAUCAUUGCCCUUUCCUUUGCACUUUAUAUGUUCAGCGCCUGAAGUGUGUUAUUAAAUUAUUAGAUAUGAAUCACUGGAGCCUCGUUGAGUUGCAGAGCUCAUGGGUCUGAGCACGCAAGCGCCUUGUGAGAAAUGACGCAGGGCGGGAGUAUUUAAACCCACCAGGAGCCUGUCUUGUCCAUCAUCACAGCGGGUAUCCUCGUGCAGGACCAGAUUUGAUUGCGUCGUGUUCGCACACACGGCUGGCACGCGACAUAACACACACGUUCUUGGCUGAAGUCUGGUGUUUUGCUAUGGAAAAACGAGGCUCUUUCUCUUUGCGCGUGACUUUGCUCAUGUUCAUCUCUCUGGUUGGUUCAGAACUGUCUGGCAACUGUCCGAGAUGUGAUCCUGGCUUUAUUCCCCAGGGCUGCAAGUGCAUCCGCUGUCCAAAGAACACAUACUGGUUGAUGAGGCAGGGCCAUGCCUUCUGCGAGCGAUGUACCAUGGUCUGCUCAGCUCAGCGACACUUGGUGGAAGUAAGCGCCUGCACGAGCACCUCGAAUCGCGAGUGCCACUGCCAGGCAGGUUUCUUCUGUACCAGUGCCGCACAGUACACUUGCCGAAGGUGCAAGCCAUGUCCAGAGGGCACCUUCUCAAAUGUCACUUCCCGUUCUAAGUCCUGCCAGUCAUACACAGAUUGCACCACUUUGGGAAUGGCAGUGAUUACAAAGGGAAGUAGGACUCACGAUCAAGUGUGUGGCUCGCUCAUGACUGCCCUUAAAUAACCCCCGGUUACGAACUUUCAGCUAGCUAUGCCAAAUGCAAAGCAAUCUGAGAUGUGGAGACUUGGGCAACAGGGGCUGUUGAAGCAAGAAAGAAGUCCAUUUAAGAAAAAAGCCAAAGAAUGUAGAUAUGAAAAAUUUAGCAAACCUCAGCAAAAAAGGAUGCAAAAUACUGCUGUCUCCAUCAUACAACAGCAUAUCAUUUUUUUAAAAUAUAUCUCUAUUUAUUUUGUGAGUUAUUGUAUUCUUAGCGGCUUACAAGUGCUGUAUACAGAUGACACAUUUCUGGAAAAGUGUUACAGGAAGCAGUCUUUCUUGGGGUCUGAUUCAGCCUGUUGAUUAAUGCCUUCCUAAGUCCCAGGUUAGUCAUGUCAACUUUACCAGUCAAACCACAUCAGUUACAAGCCCUGGUGUUAUCUUAUAUUUGCAUUUAUUCAGCAACAUACAUGUCGGAGAAAAUACAAUGUGUGUAUUACAUCAGCAGAAAGAGAGACGUAGAUGCAGACGCGUGAUUAUUAUCCGUUAUUCAACAAUUACAAUCAUGAAAAGCUUGAUUAUAAAUCUUGGAAAAGGAUCUUCAAUGCAGUCAUCAAGUCUAGGUCACAAAAUUUACAUAAUGAGUGAAAAUGCAGACCAUACUAAAUCAAAACCACACCACUACACUUCUAAGAUCAUCAGUACCAUGUUUCAAGAAAUUACAGCAAGUUAAUCUGGGGGAAAAAAAAAAAAAACUUGUCAGUUUUUUUUCUUUUUUUGUGCAGCUCUUCAACUUGUGAAGCUGGCAGUGAACUACUGAGAUUUGUAAAAUUUUAAGCCAGUGAAAUACUUUGUUGUUAGUCUAAGUUCAGGUUUCAAGUCUGUUGUCAUAGGUACAAGUACUGUGUACAAGGAUCAUGAAAUUCUUCUUGAAUGUUUCUCCACAGACUAUGAACAAAAACAAUAGAAAUACUGCACAUACUGUUUAUGUACAUGAUUUGCACCCAAGGAUUGCACUGCUAUUUGAAAGUACAAAGUGAACUGAUAAACUUAAGUAGUAAUGAGCCCUAGCACUGGUUAUUUUAGCUUUAACAUAUUUUCUAAAAAACAAAAAAAAAAAAAAGCAAGUAAAAUCUAUUUAUACACAUGUAACUGCCUCAACCCUACCUUGCAUUAUAGUUACUUUUCACAAAUAAUACACAGUAUUGUCCAGAGGCAGCCGAACAGCCAUAAAAGAAUGUUGCAUACCCUGUAGCGAUUUGGAACUAUGAAUGGUUGACGUGUAAAUAACGACUGAUUUAUCCUGUAAACAUUUCCAUUUUAAAUUAAAAUACCGGGCAAACAUCCAUUCUGUCUCUUUACUUUAUCGAGCAGCACUUUGUCAAUAUAGCCUAAUAAGCAAAUUAGAGUUACGGACUGGCGUCCCGUCCUGGGUGUGUCCCCUUCCCCCUCUGGCCUUACGCCCUGUGUUGCCGGGUAGGCUCCGGUUCCCCGUGACCCCGUAUGGGACGAGCGGUUCUGAAAAUGUGUGUGUAUGAAAUACAAUACUUCAACACGUCUUCAGUUUGAACAUCCAAUUAUUUGCCUUCAACUGUAAUUUCCAGGGAUCAAGAAAGUUGUUCCUUAAGAUUCUUUAAAAUUGAGGCUUUAAUGUGAAGUGCUAUAGAAUGCAGUAUACCUCUACCUCCACAAUAUUGGCACUGGAAGUCUGUUCGUAACUUGAAUUGUUCAUAAGUCCAACCAUUUUGUCAUAAUCAAUAAAAGCAGCUAAAACCU
This is a long non-coding RNA of Scleropages formosus (Asian bonytongue), 2594 nucleotides long. The record is from Ensembl. NCBI's taxonomy places the organism in Eukaryota, Metazoa, Chordata, Actinopteri, Osteoglossiformes, Osteoglossidae.